GCACUCUUGUUUCUGCUCAAACAGCAUAAAUCUUUCGCCUUUUACUAAAGAUUUCCGUGGGGAGAGACAAAUAGAGUUUCUAUGAAUUUUUUGAUAUCUUGCGAGAGCGAGCA
This is a small nuclear RNA of Phycodurus eques (leafy seadragon), 113 nucleotides long. RefSeq annotates it as U5 spliceosomal RNA. The record is from RefSeq and is a predicted model, not a curated record. The transcript has a single exon. Lineage: Eukaryota; Metazoa; Chordata; Actinopteri; Syngnathiformes; Syngnathidae.